UACGAGUGCCCCGAGCGUUAUCCGGAAUUAUUGGGCGUAAAGGGUCCGCAGGCGGACAUAUUAGUCUUUUGUUAAAUAUCCCGGCUCAACUGGGAAAAGGCAAGAGAAACGGUAUGUCUAGAGAAUGUGAGGGGUGUACGGAACUCAUAGUGUAGGGGUGAAAUCCGUUGAUAUUAUGGGGAACACCAAAAGCGAAGGCAGUACACUGGCACAUUUCUGACGCUGAGGGACGAAAGCAUGGGUAGCGAAUGGG
This 253-nucleotide unclassified non-coding RNA is filed under the name uncultured Parcubacteria group bacterium. Its description in RNAcentral is "contains 16S-23S intergenic spacer region". It matches the Rfam family "Bacterial small subunit ribosomal RNA", at positions 524 to 776 of the family's 1533-position model. The record is from RNAcentral.